GUGACUGCGUACCUUUUGUAUAAUGGGUCAGCGACUUAUAUUCUGUAGCAAGGUUAACCGAAUAGGGGAGCCGAAGGGAAACCGAGUCUUAACUGGGCGUUAAGUUGCAGGGUAUAGACCCGAAACCCGGUGAUCUAGCCAUGGGCAGGUUGAAGGUUGGGUAACACUAACUGGAGGACCGAACCGACUAAUGUUGAAAAAUUAGCGGAUGACUUGUGGCUGGGGGUGAAAGGCCAAUCAAACCGGGAGAUAGCUGGUUCUCCCCGAAAGCUAUUUAGGUAGCGCCUCGUGAAUUCAUCUCCGGGGGUAGAGCACUGUUUCGGCAAGGGGGUCAUCCCGACUUACCAACCCGAUGCAAACUGCGAAUACCGGAGAAUGUUAUCACGGGAGACACACGGCGGGUGCUAACGUCCGUCGUGAAGAGGGAAACAACCCAGACCGCCAGCUAAGGUCCCAAAGUCAUGGUUAAGUGGGAAACGAUGUGGGAAGGCCCAGACAGCCAGGAUGUUGGCUUAGAAGCAGCCAUCAUUUAAAGAAAGCGUAAUAGCUCACUGGUCGAGUCGGCCUGCGCGGAAGAUGUAACGGGGCUAAACCAUGCACCGAAGCUGCGGCAGCGACGCUGAUGCGUUGUUGGGUAGGGGAGCGUUCUGUAAGCCUGUGAAGGUGUGCUGUGAGGCAUGCUGGAGGUAUCAGAAGUGCGAAUGCUGACAUAAGUAACGAUAAAGCGGGUGAAAAGCCCGCUCGCCGGAAGACCAAGGGUUCCUGUCCAACGUUAAUCGGGGCAGGGUGAGUCGACCCCUAAGG
This 804-nucleotide ribosomal RNA is filed under the name Escherichia coli. Its description in RNAcentral is "partial 23S ribosomal RNA". It matches the Rfam family "Bacterial large subunit ribosomal RNA", at positions 593 to 1396 of the family's 2925-position model. The record is from RNAcentral. Lineage: Bacteria; Pseudomonadati; Pseudomonadota; Gammaproteobacteria; Enterobacterales; Enterobacteriaceae.